UACGUAGGGCGCAAGCGUUAUCCGGAAUUAUUGGGCGUAAAGAGCUCGUAGGCGGUUUGUCGCGUCUGCCGUGAAAGUCCGGGGCUCAACUCCGGAUCUGCGGUGGGUACGGGCAGACUAGAGUGAUGUAGGGGAGACUGGAAUUCCUGGUGUAGCGGUGAAAUGCGCAGAUAUCAGGAGGAACACCGGUGGCGAAGGCGGUUCUCUGGGCAGUACCUGACGCUGAGGAGCGAAAGUGUGGGGAGCGAACAGG
Molecule: ribosomal RNA, 253 nt
Filed under: uncultured bacterium
Lineage: Bacteria
Description: partial 16S ribosomal RNA
Rfam family: Bacterial small subunit ribosomal RNA
Source: RNAcentral